Molecule: ribosomal RNA, 446 nt
Filed under: uncultured bacterium
Lineage: Bacteria
Description: bacterial SSU rRNA
Rfam family: Bacterial small subunit ribosomal RNA
Source: RNAcentral
GCCAGACUCCUACGGGAGGCAGCAGUCGGGAAUAUUGCGCAAUGGAGGAAACUCUGACGCAGUGACGCCGCGUGCAGGAAGAAGGUUUUCGGAUUGUAAACUUCUUUAGACAGGGAAGAAACAAGACAGUACCUGUAGAAUAAGCUCCGGCUAACUACGUGCCAGCAGCCGCGGUAAUACGUAGGGAGCAAGCGUUAUCCGGAUUUAUUGGGUGUAAAGGGUGCGUAGACGGGAAAACAAGUUAGUUGUGAAAUCCCGCGGCUUAACUGAGGAACUGCAACUAAAACUAUUUUUCUUGAGUGUUGGAGAGGAAAGUGGAAUUCCUAGUGUAGCGGUGAAAUGCGUAGAUAUUAGGAGGAACACCAGUGGCGAAGGCGACUUUCUGGACAAUAACUGACGUUGAGGCACGAAAGUGUGGGGAGCAAACAGGAUUAGAUACCCCCGUA